AACGUAGGGCGCGAGCGUUGUCCGGAUUUAUUGGGCGUAAAGAGCUCGUAGGCGGCUUGUUGCGUCGACUGUGAAAACCCGCGGCUUAACUGCGGGCUUGCAGUUGAUACGGGCAGGCUAGAGUUCGGUAGGGGAGACUGGAAUUCCUGGUGUAGCGGUGAAAUGCGCAGAUAUCAGGAGGAACACCGGUGGCGAAGGCGGAUCUCUGGGCCGAUACUGACGCUGAGGAGCGAAAGCGUGGGGAGCGAACAGG
RNAcentral lists this ribosomal RNA (253 nucleotides) under uncultured bacterium. Its description in RNAcentral is "partial 16S ribosomal RNA". It matches the Rfam family "Bacterial small subunit ribosomal RNA", at positions 524 to 776 of the family's 1533-position model. The record is from RNAcentral.